GAUGAACGCUGGCGGCGUGCCCAAUACAUGCAAGUCGAGCGAACGGACGAGAAGCUUGCUUUUCUGAUGUUAGCGGCGGACGGGUGAGUAACACGUGGAUAACCUACCUAUAAGACUGGGAUAACUUCGGGAAACCGGAGCUAAUACCGGAUAAUAUUUUGAACCGCAUGGUUCAAAAGUGAAAGACGGUCUUGCUGUCACUUAUAGAUGGAUCCGCUCUGCAUUAGCUAGUUGGUAAGGUAACGGCUUACCAAGGCAACGAUGCAUAGCCGACCUGAGAGGGUGAUCGGCCACACUGGAACUGAGACACGGUCCAGACUCCUACGGGAGGCAGCAGUAGGGAAUCUUCCGCAAUGGGCGAAAGCCUGACGGAGCAACGCCGCGUGAGUGAUGAAGGUCUUCGGAUCGUAAAACUCUGUUAUUAGGGAAGAACAUAUGUGUAAGUAACUGUGCACAUCUUGACGGUACCUAAUCAGAAAGCCACGGCUAACUACGUG
This 497-nucleotide ribosomal RNA is filed under the name uncultured bacterium. Its description in RNAcentral is "partial 16S ribosomal RNA". It matches the Rfam family "Bacterial small subunit ribosomal RNA", at positions 28 to 507 of the family's 1533-position model. The record is from RNAcentral.